UGUCUUCUAAAUAAAGACCGGUAUGAAUGGCUAAAUGAGGACAAACCUGUCUCUUGCAACUAAUCAGUGAAACUGAUCUCCCGGUCCAAAAGCCGGGAUAAACCCAUAAGACGAGAAGACCCUGUGGAGCUUUAAACAAACUACCAUGCACCCACCAACACUGCGACUAGUAGGGAGUUUUAAGUUGGGGCGACUUCGGAACUAAAAAAAACUUCCGAGCAUAGAACCACCCGUUCUUACCAAGACCAACAAGUCAAAGUCAAAAAAUGACCCAGUAACACUGAUCAACGAACCAAGUUACCCCAGGGAUAACAGCGCCAUCUUCUUCAAGAGUUCAUAUCGACAAGAAGGUUUACGACCUCGAUGUUGGAUCAGGACACCCCAAUGGUGCAGCCGCUAUUAAAGGUUCGUUUGUUCAACGAUUAAUAGU
RNAcentral lists this ribosomal RNA (430 nucleotides) under Plestiodon latiscutatus. Its description in RNAcentral is "partial 16S ribosomal RNA". It matches the Rfam family "Bacterial large subunit ribosomal RNA", at positions 1970 to 2594 of the family's 2925-position model. The record is from RNAcentral. Lineage: Eukaryota; Metazoa; Chordata; Lepidosauria; Squamata; Scincidae.